UGGGGAAUAUUGGACAAUGGGCGAAAGCCUGAUCCAGCCAUGCCGCGUGAGUGAAGAAGGCCUUAGGGUUGUAAAGCUCUUUCAGCGGGGAAGAUAAUGACGGUACCCGCAGAAGAAGCCCCGGCUAACUUCGUGCCAGCAGCCGCGGUAAUACGAAGGGGGCUAGCGUUGUUCGGAAUUACUGGGCGUAAAGCGCGCGUAGGCGGAUCGCUAAGUCAGGGGUGAAAUCCCAGGGCUCAACCCUGGAACUGCCUUUGAUACUGACGGUCUGGAGAUCGGGAGAGGUGAGUGGAAUUCCGAGUGUAGAGGUGAAAUUCGUAGAUAUUCGGAGGAACACCAGAAGCGAAGGCGGCUCACUGGCCCGAUACUGACGCUGAGGCGCGAAAGCGUGGGGAGCAAACA
RNAcentral lists this ribosomal RNA (402 nucleotides) under uncultured Afifella sp. RNAcentral describes it as "bacterial SSU rRNA". It matches the Rfam family "Bacterial small subunit ribosomal RNA", at positions 355 to 774 of the family's 1533-position model. The record is from RNAcentral. Lineage: Bacteria; Pseudomonadati; Pseudomonadota; Alphaproteobacteria; Hyphomicrobiales; Afifellaceae.